This 447-nucleotide ribosomal RNA is filed under the name uncultured bacterium. RNAcentral's name for it is "bacterial SSU rRNA". It matches the Rfam family "Bacterial small subunit ribosomal RNA", at positions 330 to 793 of the family's 1533-position model. The record is from RNAcentral.
UCCAGACUCCUACGGGAGGCAGCAGUGGGGGAUAUUGCACAAUGGGGGAAACCCUGAUGCAGCGACGCCGCGUGGGCGAAGAAGUAUUUCGGUAUGUAAAGCUCUAUCAGCUGGGAAGAGAAUGACGGUACCUGACUAAGAAGCCCCGGCUAACUACGUGCCAGCAGCCGCGGUAAUACGUAGGGGGCGAGCGUUAUCCGGAUUUACUGGGUGUAAAGGGAGCGUAGACGGCUGGUCAAGUCUGAAGUGAAAGCCCGGGGCUUAACCCCGGAACGGCUUUGGAAACUGAGCAGCUAGAGUGCUGGAGAGGUAAGCGGAAUUCCUAGUGUAGCGGUGAAAUGCGUAGAUAUUAGGAGGAACACCAGUGGCGAAGGCGGCUUACUGGACAGUAACUGACGUUGAGGCUCGAAAGCGUGGGGAGCAAACAGGAUUAGAUACCCCGGUACG